Long non-coding RNA from Cuculus canorus (common cuckoo), 3688 nucleotides. RefSeq lists it as uncharacterized. The transcript is spliced from 3 exons. NCBI's taxonomy places the organism in Eukaryota, Metazoa, Chordata, Aves, Cuculiformes, Cuculidae. The record is from RefSeq and is a predicted model, not a curated record.
UAAAAGACAGUAAAUAAAGUAGCAUAACUAGUAUAGCAGUAAUAGUAUAGUAAGAAGUAUAUAUACUAUAGCAGUAUAGUAUGAAGUAAAUUAAAUACUAAGGCUAGUUUAGCAAUAGUAAAGCUAGUAUAGAAACGAAGAGACUUUUCUUUUGGUGUGCAACACACUGUGAGUUUAAAGUUUGUUUUAGAAUUGGGGUUUGUGCUGUCUGGAAAAAGAUGAAAAAGGCUUUUUCCAGUGUCAUUCUUUUUAACAUCAAGGCAUUGCUGGAAUAACCUGAAGCAACAUUAAAAAUAUGCAAGAGUCUCUUUCUAGAACUACAGCUUUAACAGUUUUAGUAACAGUUCCUUCUAUGGUACUUUUCCUCCAGAAAAUUGUGUAUGUUUACUUUUCUACUUAAAAAAUACAUCAAAUGCAUUCUUCCAUGACAGAAAAUAUAGCAAAGUAAUCUUUGCCUUCAGAUCAUACCACUUGAUCCAGAGUUGGAGAGUCAGCUGAAUUAAAAUUCUUAUAAUAAGCCACAGAGAAAUGACUAAUAUCAUGGUAAACAUAAUCUCCAUAGCUCUUGCUGGAACCAUCAGCACUCUCUGAAAUCGAAUGUUAUUACUAUUAAUCAUCAAUAUCCUCUACCUUGGGAUGUAAUUUCUAAGGUGAUUUUCUCAUCAGUACUUCUUUUUUCAGUUUUGGUUCCUUAUCUAGACUUCUUUAUCCUUGCCAUAAUAUUUAUAAUGUUCCACACAGGAACUGUAAUUAAACCUUUUCUUUGCUCUGUGCCUUCAGCCUCUAAUGCAUUGUAUAAUUAUAGUCCUAAAGUAGAAGAGUGAGAAUCCACUAAUGUAAACUUCUGGGAAGGUUUCCAGAAGUACAUUCUGAUUUGAAUCAUGUAAUCAAUUGCAGUGACAGACGACUAUGCUUAUAAUGGUAUUCCAAGAUCCCUCUGCAGAUAUCGCGGGAAUCUCGGACUCCUGUGACAUAGAAUUUGUAAAAUGGAGCUCUUGGUGAAAGAAUCUGAAGUCUGAGGAUGCUUAUGACCACUUCUCUUUCCACUUCUUCGUAACUGAACCUACAUCUAUUUUUAAUUGGUAUGAAGGCUUAUAGGAGGCGGAAGCAGCUCAGGAGAUAACGCUGAUGGAUUAGUGGAAUGAGAAACUUGUUCUGAAGACAGCUUUGCUGCUGAUCCUGUUUGUCACACUUGAACAAAAAGAAGGUGGGAAAACAUCAGCCUUCACCACAGCUGCUACAGUUCAGUCCCAGCUCCUCCUUCUGAUUUGCAGCCAUUUUCUUCACCGUUUAAAUGACAACUCAAAUGCAAGAAUGCAGGAAGAGCAAGAAGCCAAAAUGUCAGAGAACUGCUGCUUUCCCCCACACCUCCAGCACUCUGCCACUUCCCAGCUCGGUGGCAGUGACUACAAUAACUACCUUCUUGGACUUGCCUAUGACUCGUGAUUGCUUUUGCAUAACCACAAUAAGGAACACCCACACAGAGCCCAUCAGUGAGUUCAGAAAUGGAAGCAGAAAGCAGUUUUUUUAUUUCUUACGAAAUACUACAUGUCUGGAAAAAAAAGAAAAUCACCUCAAAACCCCAAACCACUACUUGACCCACGAUUAAUUGUUCAGUGUCAUGUUUUCAAGGACUGUUUAAAUUUAUUUUGGAGAGGAAUUCUCUUGAAUAUUGAGCAGAUAGGAAACAGUCAGAGAGUCUGCAAAACAAUUUGAUUUUAAGAAAUUACUGAGAGCUUACAGAUUUUAGGGAAUCAGAUUCACUACAACCUGCUGAUGGCAAAGAUAUAGAGAAUAAAGAAGAUUGAGUAUUACAGUGCCUAGGCAGCUGGCACCUCCUUUAUGCCAAACACCUUAUAGCUUUCCCUAGCACACAUUACCCUGCUUACCCCUGAUGAAGUGCAAACAAAUUCAUGAAAAUAUAACUACUAGAGGAACUCUGAGAAACAUAGACAUAAAUAACUGAGAAAACAUCAUGACUUGCAGCCAGGCUCAAAAAAGGGAAUAACUACAAUUGCUGGUCUGAAAAUUCUUCUCUAGAUCUUUUGGGUUUCUAUCUGUAGGACAUGUAUGAAGCUCUACUGCACAAAGACCAUGAACUCUCAGUGACCAAACUAUUUUCUUUUAGAAUCUGAGGCACAUAAUUUCUUACUAUCUACUGAAGUCUCAUACACAAAAGCUAAAGGCUUAGAUCAGGGCCUUGUGAACACAUCACUCUAUUUUUUUGAAAUCAGCACAGUAAGUAAAGCAGAAUUUUAUCUUCUGGAACUGCUCAGAGACAAAGGGCAAAGUCACCAUAAUUCUUCCUGCAUCCAUCACUUCACUGUAUUUGAAGAGUACAAUGAGGUAAAAUGAAAAUUAUAAGCUUUUAAGAAACUAGAUUUUUUUAAAUUAUCUUUUUGCUAGUUUGCUUUAACUUCUAAGCAACCUCAUGUAGAGACAGAAAAUUGAAUGAUGAAGCACCUGAAAUACACCACAGACAGUGUGCAUCGCUCCACUUGACUACUUCUUUAAAAGUAAAGUCAAUUUUCUUUUCUGCUUGUAAAAAAAUAAUAAUGAAAUGUAUUUAUUCCCUGAACUGGCUGAUAUACCAAAAGCUGCAAGUUCCAGUUUAAUUUACUUGAUAAUAAACUUUAGCAGGGACACAGUAUGUAAUACUCAAAAAGGAAAUUAGCAUGUCACUUACUGAACAGGAUAAUAUUCACUAGACGUGUGGGUAUCUUUUGUAUUCUCCUCAUUCCUUGGCUUUUUCACCUCUAUUCUCAGCCCUUUAUGCUAAGAGAGAAACAUGAAUGCUUAUCCGCAAACACACCUUUGUAGUUCUCAUUUCUUGUAUAAAUCAGCAACUUGUAACAAGUGUCAGAACUGGCAAUAUUUUUCAUGAUCCAUGCCCUCAAUUAACAACAUUCCAGUGGCAUCAAUGCUAGGAUGGAUUUCUUCCUGAUUUCCUCUUAAUGGGAUCCAGAGUCAGAAACUCAGGAUGUACAAAGCUGUGCAAUGCUUCCCCCACUCCUUUCAUUUUGCUUUUCAGUAACACUUUCAAAAAAUCUUUAUUAGUAUUUCAUGCUUGUUAUUGCUUGUGGCAAUAUUGUCCAAGACAGAGAAGUAAGCUGAGGUUUAGAAAUAACUAAAUCUUGGAGGGAUUCCCAAGUUUAUUCUGUCAACAUUUGCAGGCUUGAAAUGUAGCAUUUUCACAGCUCAUCCUGCUGCUCCUCCUUGCUCUCUCCGUGUAGAUACUCCCUGCACUGCCACUGAAGCCAAAGCAUCAAGGAUGAGCAGUUCAGUGUCUGCAUUGCAGGAAACCUCUUGUGGGCCAGAAGCUUUUCACAGUGCUAGUUGCAAAACUAAAGACAACAGUCCCUGAGUUGCUUAAUAAUGUUCCUGCCUCUAAAUGAAACAAUCUUCAAUUGUUCUCCUAAAAAAUAUUUUUAAAGAUUACUUUUGCAGAUUCAAUACUUCAUGACUUUGUGACUGUCUUCCAGUAGAAUGUUGAUUACUGUAACUGAAAUUUCAGUUCUCAUCUUUGCAUUAAUAUCUAGCAAUAAUUAGCGAAAGCAUAACUUCAGCUGUGAAUGGCAUUGCUGACUUGGUGAUGGCUGUUAUAAACAAAUAAAACUUUUUCCUUAAGACAGUCUUUACUGCAGAGGUCAUGUGCUGCCUCACACAACUAAGACAACUCUCUUGUGUU